Molecule: ribosomal RNA, 270 nt
Filed under: uncultured archaeon
Lineage: Archaea
Description: partial 16S ribosomal RNA
Rfam family: Archaeal small subunit ribosomal RNA
Source: RNAcentral
CAGCACCUCAAGUGGUCAGGAUGAUUAUUGGGCCUAAAGCAUCCGUAGCCUGCUUUGUUAGUUUUCGGUUAAAUCCAUACGCUCAACGUAUGGGCUGCCGGGAAUACUGCAAAGCUAGGGAGUGGGAGAGGUAGACGGUACUCGGUAGGAAGGGGUAAAAUCCUUUGAUCUAUUGAUGACCACCUGUGGCGAAGGCGGUCUACCAGAACACGUCCGACGGUGAGGGAUGAAAGCUGGGGGAGCAAACCGGAUUAGAUACCCGUGUAGUCC